Bicyclus anynana (squinting bush brown) is the source of this 2052-nucleotide long non-coding RNA. RefSeq lists it as uncharacterized. The record is from RefSeq and is a predicted model, not a curated record. The transcript has 5 exons. NCBI's taxonomy places the organism in Eukaryota, Metazoa, Arthropoda, Insecta, Lepidoptera, Nymphalidae.
CGUGUAAAGAGCUCCCUAAAAACGCCGGUUUGUGUAGUUAAAUGGCAUAAAAAACAACCAAAAACUUGUAGUUUAGUAAAAGAUGAAGUAAGGUUUCAUUUGAAAGUAUUUAAACCUUAAUUUUAUCAAAUUGUUAAAAAAAACAAUUUAUAAAAAGAAUCGAUUCUUUUGACGAAACAGCCAAACAUCGAUCAGUAAUCGAAUAUUCUAUGUAUUUAAUCUGUGGAUAGUCUAAGCAAUGCCACAGUAAAAAUAGUAUAGUAUAAUACAAGCAGUAGUUUGACUUCAUACUAGAGGUCGAAACGGGAGCUAUACCUACCUACGCACCUCGAACUCGGGGCGUGGGGUGCAGACAGUCGCGACUGUGCCGCAGUGACGAAAGCAUGGUGCUUUGACACCUAUAUAUAACGGACAUGUGGCAUUUUACGUCAAAUUUGGUCAAGGAAUAAUUUUUUUUUUAAUAAACAAAAUUUGUUCGUAACCUCUCUAACUUAAAGAAAGCUACCUUAAUGGAGCGAGAUAGAUAUUUUUUAGUCAUUGCGUAUAGAGGUUAGACAUGUUUUACAUGACAACAUCAAUUAUGACCAUUAACAUCAGUUGUGACCAAAUUAUGUUUUGUUUUUGUCGACGCAAAAUGGUGAUCGUUGUGGUUCCGGUGUAACGGUAUUCGAAUUAUUACGGAAAUUGUAACCAAUAAGCUUGUGAAUCGCAAAAUAUAUUAAAUAUUAUACAAUGGUGAAGUGUGCAGUUGUUGCCUGCACCAACAAAACUAGCGGGAAUUUCAUUUCACAAUGACCAAAAAUGGCUAUUUUUGUGGUUCCGGUGUAACGGUAUUCGAAAUAUUACGGAAAUAAUAACCAAUAAGCUUGUGAAUCGCAAAAUAAAUUAAAUAUUAUACAAUGGUGAAGUGCGCAGUUGUUGCCUACACCAACAAAACCCAAACAAAACUAGCGGGAAAUUCAUUUCACAAAUUUCCAAAAAAUCAUGAUUUAAGACAAAAAUGGCUAAACAGCAUUAAUAGGCCUAAUUUCCAUCAUGAUACAGCUGCAUAUGUAGUGAUCAUUUUAAGAAGGAUCACAUUAAUUUAACAUUAUGCCUUCCGCGCCUCAAAGACAAUGCCUGCCCAUCUAUCCCGAAUUUAUCACCUGAGCAACAAGUAAGACAACCCUUGCAAGAAGUGAAUCUUAAUCUGUUAUCAGAGUCAUGACAAUGCUAUUUCCCAAAAUGGAAUACAAGAUAUAAUGGUUCCAUCUACUUAUCAGUCAGCCAGUACACCUAACGUACAAAUAGUAACGGCUGGUUCAAUUAAGGACGUUUUGGCUCGUAUUGUCAAAAACAUAUUUAAAAACUAAAUUUUUCUUGUAAUAACGUCUCAAGAACAUAUGAAAAAAAAAAUUAUCUAGUAGAACGACAAUCAAAUAUUUAAGACCAUGUAUAAAAAAGUGUCAACUAGCCUAUUACUUUUUAAUAUGUCUAACGUAUAACGUUGUAUCAAAAAUUGUAAGUUUUGCAACUUCUAUAAAUAAAUUUUGUUGAUGAAUUACGAUUUUUGUUUCCUGUUGCCUUGAGGAUUCAGUGCAUAAACUGUGCGACUUGGAGAGUUUAGUAUUAGGCUGAUGGUGUAGGACAACAUCAUAUUCAUCUGAUAGUAAUCGUUACACAUUCAAGACAUAAACACAGGCCAACGUUCGUGAGUGCCAAUACAAAACAUUAUAUAGUUUAAAUAAUUUAUACUAUACAAUGUUUAUCAAAUACCACAGAGUAACCGGAAAAUGCGUGCUGAAGCGUCACGCGUCUCCUUGCAUAUAAAAACAAUUACGUAAAUUGAUAUAAUAAUCAAUAAAAAAAUACUCCAUCUUAUUUCUUUAGUUUUUGAGAACAGUUUUUAAAAUAUUUAGAAACAUAUGACGCCAUUUUUCUUGAAUAAUAUUGAAAAUUACUGAUGCGACGGUUCGUAUCGUACUGACAAGAGAACGUAUUCGUUUUUGAAUUUCAUAUUCGUAGCGGGUACGACACCGUCAUGUUCCGUACGCUCCAUCUGUAUAUUAUUGA